UAUGAGCGCACACACACGUAUGAGUGACAUGAACUUGGUCAAACGAGCGUAGCCCAGAGCAGCGUUCAGCGUAGCGGUACUUCUUGAGUCUUUGAAUCUUGUACUUUUGUUCAACGGUGGUUACUGACGCCGUGGUACGCAUCGCUUUGUGAUGAAGUCGUUUUUAAAUCGCUUGUACAAGAAGAUCAAGUGGUAUUACUUCAUGUACGAUCUCCACACGUCCCUCUACAUGUUGGAGUCUUGGGAGAAGAGAGUAUUCAAUAUUGGGCUUGUAGCCGUCGUCGCUAUGUCAAGUUACACGACCUACGUCUUCUUGCCUCGUUACACACAGAAUGUGCUCCGUUAUUUUGGGGUAGUUGAGUAGGUGACUGCACCACGGCCAGCGUCCAAGAUGAAGUAAACUGCAUUGCCGCGUCUGCCCUCCUUUUCAAGUCGCCCGGAAAGCCAAAAAAGUGCCGUGGAUUGCCGUCACUCCUAGCUGUUUGACGCGCCCUCAAGAAGACCUUGCACAGUUCACGCUUGUAUUACACGACGAAUUAAAAUAGCAACAGAGGGACAACGCCCUGUUGCAGUAAUCUACAUCGUGGCCACCACUAAAUUUUGCAUUUGGGUCUCUUCAAACAGCUAGCUAAAUCAAUGCGCGGUGUUCAUUUAUGUUCACGUGUUUUGAUUUUUGUAAAGUUUUUCAGUCUGAUGUGGAGAAAACUAACCAAUAGCCAUAAUGCCAUGCACAAAUCAGUCUGGUUUCAUUCAAGGCAUGAAAAAGUGUGCACUCUUGGUUUGAACAUUGUUUUAUUCAGUUGCGCCUCGCACCAUGUUAAUCAACCAACCAUCAUGUCAGCUUGACAAUGCUCAGUGCUUGUGCAAUAACACAGUCAUGCUAUCAUUUGACUGUUACAUCACUAAUGAUGGCCAAUGUGGCUGGUGCUUUGCGUGCAUGCGUACCAUACCGUGGUUGUUGCGCUAGUUGGUGUACACAAACCAUGUGACCCUUCUUGUUUUUGUCUUGCAUGUGCCACACUUUAUUAAAUUGUCAAUGUAGCCUUGGC
Molecule: long non-coding RNA, 1049 nt
Filed under: Dermacentor andersoni
Lineage: Eukaryota; Metazoa; Arthropoda; Arachnida; Ixodida; Ixodidae
Description: uncharacterized LOC126533456
Source: RNAcentral